UCCUCUGUAGCUUAACAGUAAAGAAUCUGCUUGCAAUGCAGGAGACCCAGGUUCGAUCCCUGGGUCGGGAA
This 71-nucleotide transfer RNA is filed under the name Ovis aries (sheep). It matches the Rfam family "tRNA". From Rfam's summary of the family: Transfer RNA (tRNA) molecules are approximately 80 nucleotides in length. Lineage: Eukaryota; Metazoa; Chordata; Mammalia; Artiodactyla; Bovidae. The record is from Rfam by way of RNAcentral.